Molecule: ribosomal RNA, 313 nt
Filed under: Cribraria argillacea
Lineage: Eukaryota; Evosea; Eumycetozoa; Liceales; Cribrariaceae
Description: eukaryotic LSU rRNA
Rfam family: 5.8S ribosomal RNA (bases 1-133)
Source: RNAcentral
UGGUUCUGGCAUCCAUGAAGAACGCUGCGAAAUGCGAUACGUCGUGUGAAUUGCAGAAUUCAGUGCAUCAUCGAAUCUUUAAACGCACAUUGCGGCCUUUGGUAUUCAAAAGGGCAUGCCUGUUGGAGCGUCAUUUGCACCCUCAAGCUUUCCUUGGUGUUGGGCGUCUUUUCUCUCACGAGACUCGCCUUAAAAACAUUGGCAGCCCACCUACUGGUUUCGGGGCGCAGCACAAUUCUUGCAGUUUGAAUCAGCCUUGGUUGAGGAUCCAUCAAGCCCCUAUUUUAUAACUUUUGACCUCGGAUCAGGUAGG